This 67-nucleotide transfer RNA is filed under the name Bradyrhizobium sp. CB82. RNAcentral describes it as "tRNA-Arg". It matches the Rfam family "tRNA", at positions 9 to 71 of the family's 71-position model. From Rfam's summary of the family: Transfer RNA (tRNA) molecules are approximately 80 nucleotides in length. Their secondary structure includes four short double-helical elements and three loops (D, anti-codon, and T loops). The record is from RNAcentral. Lineage: Bacteria; Pseudomonadati; Pseudomonadota; Alphaproteobacteria; Hyphomicrobiales; Nitrobacteraceae.
GAUUUCAAUGAAUGAUAGCGGAUUUCUACUCCGCGGGUUGCAGGUUCGAGUCCUGCCGGGAUCGCCA